Molecule: ribosomal RNA, 477 nt
Filed under: uncultured bacterium
Lineage: Bacteria
Description: bacterial SSU rRNA
Rfam family: Bacterial small subunit ribosomal RNA
Source: RNAcentral
AGGACGACGCUGGCGGCGUGCUUAACACAUGCAAGUCGAGCGAUGAAGCUCCUUCGGGAGUGGAUUAGCGGCGACGGGUGAGUAACACGUGGGUAACCUGCCUCAUAGAGGGGAAUAGCCUUUCGAAAGGAAGAUUAAUACCGCAUAAGAUUGUAGUACCGCAUGGUACAGCAAUUAAAGGAGUAAUCCGCUAUGAGAUGGACCCGCGUCGCAUUAGCUAGUUGGUGAGGUAAACGGCUCACCAAAGGCGACGAUGCGUAGCCGACCUGAGAGGGUGAUCGGCCACAUUGGGACUGAGACACGGCCCAGACUCCUACGGGAGGCAGCAGUGGGGAAUAUUGCACAAUGGGGGAAACCCUGAUGCAGCCAACGCCGCGUGAGUGAUGACGGUCUUACGGAUUGUAAAGCUCUGUCUUUAGGGACGAUAAUGACGGUACCUAAGGAGGAAGCCACGGCUAACUACGUGCCAGCAGCAGC